This 301-nucleotide ribosomal RNA is filed under the name uncultured bacterium. RNAcentral's name for it is "partial 16S ribosomal RNA". It matches the Rfam family "Bacterial small subunit ribosomal RNA", at positions 509 to 807 of the family's 1533-position model. The record is from RNAcentral.
CAGUCGCCACGGUAAUACGAAGGGGGCUAGCGUUGUUCGGAUUUACUGGGCGUAAAGCGCACGUAGGCGGAUUCUUAAGUCAGAGGUGAAAUCCCAAGGCUCAACCUUGGAACUGCCUUUGAUACUGGGGAUCUUGAGUCCGGGAGAGGUGAGUGGAACUGCGAGUGUAGAGGUGAAAUUCGUAGAUAUUCGCAAGAACACCAGUGGCGAAGGCGGCUCACUGGCCCGGUACUGACGCUGAGGUGCGAAAGCGUGGGGAGCAGACAGGAUUAGAUACCCGCGUAGUCCCUGUCUCUUAUAC